This 497-nucleotide ribosomal RNA is filed under the name uncultured bacterium. RNAcentral describes it as "partial 16S ribosomal RNA". It matches the Rfam family "Bacterial small subunit ribosomal RNA", at positions 28 to 507 of the family's 1533-position model. The record is from RNAcentral.
GAUGAACGCUGGCGGCGUGCCUAAUACAUGCAAGUCGAGCGAACAGACGAGGAGCUUGCUCCUCUGACGUUAGCGGCGGACGGGUGAGUAACACGUGGAUACCCUACCUAUAAGACUGGGAUAACUUCGGGAAACCGGAGCUAAUACCGGAUAAUAUAUUGAACCGCAUGGUUCAAUAGAGAAAGUCGGUUUUGCUGUCACUUAUAGAUGGAUCCGCGCCGCAUUAGCUAGUUGGUAAGGUAACGGCUUACCAAGGCAACGAUGCGUAGCCGACCUGAGAGGGUGAUCGGCCACACUGGAACUGAGACACGGUCCAGACUCCUACGGGAGGCAGCAGUAGGGAAUCUUGCGCAAUGGGCGAAAGCCUGACGGAGCAACGCCGCGUGAGGGAUGAAGGUCUUCGGAUCGUAAAACUCUGUUAUUAGGGAAGAACAAAUGUGUAAGUAACUAGGCACGUCUUGACGGUACCUGAUCAGAAAGCCACGGCUAACUACGUG